CAGCCGCCGCGGUAAUACCGGCGGCCCGAGUGGCGGUCACUAUUAUUGGGCUUAAAACGUCCGUAGCCGGGUUGGGAAGUCCUCCGGGAAAUCUGGCCGCUUAACGGUCAGAAUGCCGGAGGAUACUCCCAGCCUAGGGAGCGGGGGAGGCCGAGGGGAUUCCCGGAGUAGGGGUGGAAUCCUAUAAUCCCGGGAGGACCACCUGUGGCGAAGGCGCUCGGCUGGAACGCGUCCGACGGUGAGGGACGAAGGCCAGGGGAGCAAACCGGAUUAGAUACCCGGGUAGUCCUGGCUGUAAACGAUGCGGACUUUGUGUCGGACAAGCUAUGAGCUGGUCCGGUGCCGGAGGGAAACCGUUAAGUCCGCCGCCUGGGGAGUACGGCCGCAAGGCUGAAACUUAAAGGAAUUGGCGGG
Molecule: ribosomal RNA, 414 nt
Filed under: uncultured microorganism
Description: bacterial SSU rRNA
Rfam family: Archaeal small subunit ribosomal RNA
Source: RNAcentral